Molecule: long non-coding RNA, 8020 nt
Organism: Acinonyx jubatus (cheetah)
Lineage: Eukaryota; Metazoa; Chordata; Mammalia; Carnivora; Felidae
Exons: 2
Source: RefSeq, a predicted model, not a curated record
GCAGGACACAGUGUCUCCCGGGAGGGGUGAGAGCAUCCAUUCACAGUUGGAUCCCCCAAACUGAACACGUCUCUCUGGCUCUGGUCUCACCACCACCAAGUGGAGGAAUGAUCUUGAAAUGUUGAAGUUCCACCUGUGAACCCCUAUCACCUGCAGGACCAGUGAGAACAUUUAAAGAGACUUGUUUUGAGCGAGCUGUGGCUGCAAGAAUAGAAAAAAGCGGUGGGUCCGUGUGGUUUCCUGCACUCACUGCUCCCUCGGCGGCUAAUUACAAGUCAAUCCGUUUCACACAAUUUCAAGUUUUAAUUCCCAGCUUUCACGGUCCUCUUAAAACGUGAUUCAGCAGAAGUAUUAACAUAAAGCACUUCACUGUAGAAUCUUUAGCACAUCGUGGAGAGAUGGGGUCAUACCUUGGUGCUGGUUUAGUGUAGUGAAGAGAUAUUACAAAGGGCGUACGUGGAUUCUUGCUCGGGAGAGUUGGCGGACGUCAAAGAGCAGCUUGCGACGUGAUUGCUAAUGUGCUCAUGGCAGGAGCGCCGGGCGCUUCAGUGGGCCGAUGCUCUAUCCAGUGCCUUUAAUGCAAAUAGCUUCCCAUACGGCAAUGAAAUUGAAGUGAAAAAUUCAAUUUAUUCUCUUCCUCUGCCCUUCCCUGAUGUUGUCCUAGUUUGGACACUUUCUUUCAAGAGCUACCGAUAAGGCCUAAUGCUCAUCAGAAUGCAAAUUUACAAAGAGCCUUGUAUGACGAUUGCCUCUGACGUGCAUGGAAAUGUGAUGAACUCACUUGCUCCCGUUAAGUUACUUUUCACGUGUCUACUACAAUUUCCAAUUCUUGCAAAUUUUGGUAUGACAUGCCAGCAGAACAUUCACAUGAUCCUUUUCUUUCACAAUUUGAGGUGGGUUUUUGUAGAAUUUGCAGGUAGUUUGAAAUGAUCAUUUGAAUAUUUAUUCAUCCCUGAUCUCUGGGAUCUUCCGUGACUGCGGUUGUGGAGUGGGUGUCGGAAAAUCACUGCCCCCACAGGUGUGUCCCCCUGUAAGGUCUCAGCGUUACUGUUUUCAUAUUUAUUGAGCACACAUUUCUGGUUAUUUUUUUUGAAAUCAUAUACUUAGUAUUUAAAAGUUAUUUAAAGAACAAAUUGAUGAAUGGAAAAGUAUAAUCUCCAGAUUAACGGUAGAUCACAGUCAACUAUGAAAUCUAGCAUCAUUCUCCGUGGAUUUGAAAACAAGAUUUCUCUUUUUCUUUUUUUUAAAAUAUAAUUUAUUGUCGGGAUGCCUGGGUGGCUCUGUUGGUUCAGUGUCUGACUUCGGCUCAGGUCAUGAUCUCACAGUUGGUGGGUUCGAGCCCCAGGUCGGGCUCUGUGCUGACACCUUGGAGCCCAGAGCCUGCUUCAGGUUCUGUCUUUCCCUCUCUCUCUGCCCCUCCCCUGCUUGCAGUCUGCCUCUCUCUCUCUCUCUCUCUCUCUCUCUCUCUCUCUCUCUCUCAAAAAUAAGAAUUAAAAAAUAUAUAUACCUUAUUGUCAAGUUAGCUAACAUGCAGUGUAUACAGUGUGUUCUUGGCUUCAGAGGUACAGUCCCAUGAUUCAUUGCUUUGGAGCGCACGUUUCGUGUCCAUCCAGUUUCACGUGGCUGUGUGGCACCUGGGAUGUGUGGGACCUCCCUGUAGGCACCUGCCCUUGGCAGCAAGGACCUGGACACCAGUCAGAAGGCCGGGAGCAGCGGCUGUCCACCGAGCUGUAUGGUGGGUAGGUCCCCAAGGUGCGCGUGGCAUCUGCCCCCCUCAGGGCCGUCUCCCUUAUAGCUGAUACUUGUCUGUUCUCUGUGGCUGUGCGGUGUCCAGGCAAACUGCGGACUGCAGGGCCCAUGUCCUCCUCAGCCCCGUGUUAUGCUCUCGUAGGGUAGCUCUGAGCAAUCUCUCUUCUUCCCUGUGCCCGCCACACAGUCUACGAGCCAGGUGUUGUCCCAUCCAGGGAUCACGGCCGGAGUCCUGGGGGUUACCCCCCGUCUUCUGGGGUGGAAAGCAGGUCCUCGAGUGAGGAAAUCGCUGAAGCCCCACCCGCAGCCCCGGGAGUCUGUGCCUCCACACAUCUGACCCAGCGGUGUUUAGAUUAUCAGCUAAUUGGGCAGAGUUGUUUUGGGCAAGAGAACCUGUCAACACCUGUCCGAAGACCCUACCGUUGAGUCCCUCGUGUGGCCCAUGUCUCUGUGGACCUACUGAAUGAAACUUGGUAGCUUUGGAACAAUUGCUUUUAUUCAAGAAAAACACCUUAUUUGCUUUGUUUCACUUUAUGCCAUUUACCCGUUGGGCUUAAUGUAACGGAUACAAAAGUCCAAAAACGCUAGCACAGGAAUGGUUUACAUUCCCUCUGGAACGUAUCUUUGAAUGAUUUAACAACAGGAAGCCUGCCUGAACAUGACUUAACUAAACCAGUAUUUAUUUGGGCUCAUGAUACUUUUUAUUAAUCAUAGAGGGCUGAACGGAUCUAACUUCGCUCAAUCGGUUCAGUGAGCUGUGAUUAUAAAAUUACAGUUUUGGGAAGAAAUUAUUUCGUGUGAUGGAAAUUUCAAUAUUUGGAGCUCAGAGUUCUGGCUUAAUGAACCACUUAACCUAAUCUUUACUUUUUAAAGGGCGCCAUCAGCAAUAACCCUAUACUUGCUCUUAAAAUCAGGGCAAGAACCACAGGUUAUCUUUCCUGUUUCAAAUUGUUAGGCAAAUAUCUAAUCGUGAUUAAUAGGGUGCUAGUUUUAGGUGCAAAGUGUACAGAGGAGACACGUAAUAAAUGUGUCCUCUUUGUCCACAAGAAGAUCAAGGCAUCUGGGCAACUUCAGUAAAGAAAUCAAGAAAACCACAAGAAGCAGAUCCAGUGGAUCUGUUCUCUGCUCUCUGCGUCCAAGUCUCGCAGCAGAGCAGUCAUCUUAAGUCAUUACAGAGGCCUGGGAAAACCACACACAACCCACAUUGGUAGACGGUGUCGGUGUCUAUAGAACGGGGAGCGCCCAGGGCACUCCCAGCCCCGAAGUGCCACCGAGGACCUGGAACUCUAGAGGAUCCAGAACUCCAGAGCAUUCUAGAUGCCAUGGUCUUACGAGGGGCGAGGGGGAGCAGGACUGUCCCUGUUUAUGAAGACUGCUCCUCUCUUCCCCCGCUCCACCCCCUCUUUCUUUGUCUGCCCUGCAGAGCACAUAGGGCUGGGCGCUGCUGGGGGAUAAUAAACGUAUCAGACAUGAUCACUGCAGCAGGGCGCCGAAGGCCUCCCGUGACAGCAGACGGACAGAGCUUUGGGAAAACACAGGGACUGUCCUGUCCUCCAAGAAGAAACGCUCGUCCCAGGGUGUGGAGGUGACGGAGCAAAGGGGCUCCUUCCCGCAGGCAGGUGCACGGUCCGCGUCAAAGCAAAGGUCUUCUUACAGAGUCUUGGGACAGGGGCUCCUGUGCCACUGCCCUCCCUCUGCCCCCUCUGCUGCUCAGCCAAAUCCAACUCCCCCUCGAGGCCCUGCACCAUGCCACCUUCUCCACGAAGCAUCCUGGAAUCUCCCCCCUCGACAGCAUCUUAUACCUCUGAGUUUCUAACACACCUGCCUGCCUGUCUCCUACUACACGUGAUGUUUCCCCCUUGCGAUAGUCUUGUCCUGGUCUCACUUCUCCAUCCGAGGUAACUGCAGUCUGGGUCUACACUGUACCCUGGUCACUCUCCACUAGCCUACAUUCUGUGCGGUGGUGCCUGGCUCACAGCACACAUCCGGUAAAUAUCCGUAGGAUGUUUACGUUAACGACACAGUCCAAGAAGAAGGCCCCAGGGGUUCAAAGCAGGCUUUAAAAAAGGUGUUUAGGAAACGCAAUUGAAGGGCAGCAGAAAGUCACCUUCUGCCAUAGUUUGCUGGAGAAUGUGCUCUCCAACCGAAAUUUAAAUAUUGUGUAUCCUGAGAUGAUGUAAUCUUACAGUUGAUUCGGGUCAUUGCAGGCCAUCAAACUGACUUUCGUAUAUGGUGCCCUUAUGGCACUCUUCCCAGAAUUUUCUGGAAUGUCUCCUAUGACAAGACAGUCAUGACUUAUUGCAAUGCUGUUUCGGUGCUGAAGCCUUGAACUGUCGGAUCUUUCAUGUUUAGUUUGAGAAAGAACUUGUGCCCUUUUUUCUUUGCUCUCUUAAUCUCCAGUGGCUUAUUAAGGAUACCCCAGGUCUGUAUUUUAUCAGCUCAGGAGUUCUCUCUGAGGACAAAUGGGUGUCCCGGCCAAAAUGGACCAGAAUGAAGCAAAUGGCCAAGGAUGGGACUCAGCACUUUAUAAGACACAGAAGAAGUGAUUCCCGAGAACACAGAUGGGAAGGACGCAAUGUAGGGAGGAAGUUUCCAGUAAAAGAAUCUCGUGAUUUAAGAAAUUCAGACAGCACGGCCCGCCCUGAAACACAGCUCUUGACAGGAGAUGCCCUCUGACACCUCAUUUCACCUCUUUACUCUGUGGGGCCUGGGGAAAGAGAGUGACCCCGAGCCUUGGUUUACUUUGAUAAUGGAGAUGAUGCUCUCUACCCACCACCCACGGUGAGCCCUUGACGAGGUACGUGAAGAACUUAGCGUAAGAUUUGGCACAGGAUACGUGCUCGUACGUGCUCGUACGCCUUCGUAUGUGCUGGCUUGGAGAUUUCUUCCUUUAAAAAAUACCCAUUUUAAAGCUGAUUCUUGGAAAAUAAUGACUGGGUUAAAAGGACACAUGGAAUAUGGGAAAUUCGGAUAAGGGAGCUCUUGUGCUGGACCACCUUACAAACAUCAGUGGCUGGCGACCCUGGUUGCUCUGCACACAGAGGGAAGCCAGAACUUCUAGGAUGUGUCCUGAGGGUGCAGAUUCGGAAGAUGACAGGAUAAAAUUGGCGGACACUCGGUGGAGCUAAGACUGACAACUGUUACCGCUGCGUCUUCCUCCUGUCUCCUCCUCCGCGGUGCUCCGCUGCGGAGCCACGGGACGGGACGGGGGACGUGCGUCCUGACUGACCACCCGGCAGGUCUGCGUGCCCCAGGCCCUGCAAGAACUCACGCCGAGCACACACACACAGUGGGGACGGCAGCCCGGCCCCGAUUUCCCACCAGCAUGCACAAUUUAGUUUUCCUGUGUCUUUGGGAGAACGAUUGUAAGUCCCUGUGACGAGAAAAACAAUUUUGCCAAGCCGACGCACAUACCGAUGAGUGAGAACAACGUGCGGGAAGUAAGCAAGUAUUCAGCACCACAAUUGUGAGCAAGCCCUCCACUGAAUGUGCCCCAAGCAGACAACAGAUUGGGACAACCGCAUGGGGAUGGUGCGAGACACCAGCGGCCAGAGCCGGCCAGGGAGCAGGUUCAAAUGGUUUACCCUGGCAACGCUUCCUCCAAAAUACUCAGGGUCUGAUGGCGGCCCAGGUAAACAACAUGUGGACUUGGAUGACUCAGAGAGAAAUGUGGGGGAAGGAAUUAGUGAUUUAAGGGCAAUCUCUCUCUUUCCACAUAGGUUAGCACCAUAAGUUCUAACAACUAGAGAUCCAUACACCAAUUAUUUUCUUGGCUUCUAGGAUCCCAGGGCCAUUUUACUCUGUACGUUAUGUGAAGUCCAUAUAAUUUCAUCACUGCAUUUCCAUUUCUAGAUUACUGACGCAUUCUAUUACGGCAGCCAUCUAGACAUGUAACGCCAGGGCACAAUUCCCAAGGACGUCAGCAAUCUUUUUGAACUUGAGAAUUUGUAGCUACCUAGCAAAUGUACCAAGGAAUUCAUGGAAAGUGAACAACCACUUUAAAGACAACAUGAUUUGUCGAGUCAAGACACUCAGAAAUGCCUUUGAGAAACUGUACUGUGCUAAAGACCAGGGGCUAGUUCUAAGUACGUUGCAAUUAUUCUCAUGGUAAUCUUGUUCCAAAAACAAAGAUGGCGGGUACUUGCUUGGAAGUCACAUGCAGUGAUUUGUGAAGGAGGCCGCUCUGACAAUCCUCAAGAUAGAGUUCUUCAGGGAAAUGGGGAGGAGGUGGGCAAAAAGGGACGCUGUCCCUUCCUGCACAGAGAGGCAGAGACCCAUCUGAGCCAUUAAGGGUUGGAGCAGAUCUGCUCUGCGGACCCUCAUUCAGGAAGGUCAGAUCUGCGCACGGCACUGCGGUGGGAACGCACCGUCAUGGGGCCGGUUCAAUCUCCUAUUCGUCUCCAACUUCUCUUUGGCAUAAAGCCAACUCCACUCCAUGUAAACACGGGGCAGGAAGGACUCUAGAAAACACUCAGAGUGCUUCACGUGGAGAGAGCUAGCACGUGGAACACGAGAUUAAGGAUGCUAACGACACCACAAUCAGCACCACUGGGCUCACGAUCUAACAAAACCCAGGAGGAGCCCCUGGAACAUGUUACCGGUUGCUUUUCUGUUCGUUCUCUUGUCUGUUCUCUUGGAAUUGAGUGGGAUGCAGUUUCAAUUUGCCCAAGUAUCAAAGGACAUUCCCGCAUUAAUACUGGCACCUGCCCGUUCAUGCUACUGCCCAGGGACGGGGUUAAGAAGCCACUGGAGGCUGUGCUCUUACUUUCCUCCGAGAGGUCAUUCUCCUCUGCCUCUCUCUCCAUGUCCUUACACCAGCCUUCCAUCCUCUUGGUCUCCGUGUGUAGCAGCUUCACAAACCACGAGCCGUCCCUGCGGCACGGAGACAUCCUCCCGGUGUCUGCCGUCUCGACACACGGCUCCAGCCAGGGCUCGGGAGGGGGCAGGGUGGCAGUGUCCACGGGCGCCCUGUAGUCUUCUCUGUAACUAAAGACCCCCUGGGUCCGGACAGUCCUGACCGCCCCGUACUGGGUGGGUGUGCUGGGCUCCGAGUGCCGCUGGAAGGCGGGACCAAACUGCAGGCCCUUGUCCUCCAUGGUGACGCGUCCCGGGAAGCCCUCCAGCUCCAAGUCUGCUUGGACGGCGGCUGUCACGCUGUUCGAGCGCUUAAAACGUCCAUGUCUGCGGAGGCGGGAGGGAAGAAAAACGAAAGGCUUUCUGAGAUGACUUUCUGCGGCACACCUACGGCGAGCUCGCACACAGCACUCCUGCGAGGCAGCGAGCCAGCGGCUCAACGGAAGGUGAGCGUUUUCACCUCUACUGCCGCUGCUCUGGGGUCCCAGCUAUGAAAGCACAUUGGGUUUCGCUCAUAAGCAACCUCUGACAUGCACCUACGUCUCAGUGCCUACAUAAUGCCCACUAAAGACGUAAGUGUACUGGAGGGCACCGUGAGGAGAGCGGCCCGUGAGACCCCCCCGCCUUGGAACAGUGACCUCCCUUUGCAAAUCCGCCACAAGUUUACGAACUCCCGUGUGUGGCAUGCAGGUAAAAGUAAGGCUGCAUUGCUUCUUUCAUAUAAAUAACUUCUGUACCCUCUGACUUCUGGGGACACAUUUCAGGACGUGAGUUUCUCCUCCUUUCUGAAUAUCUUAAUAUCAUCUCCAUUAAGUCUUUUAUGCAAAAUAAUGAAUCUGAGCUCUGACUUUAGCAGGUGUUUGAAAAACAUUUUCAUCGUAUGUAUUUGGAGGCCACCCAUGCCUGCACAGCCAAUUACUGAAAUGAUGGGUAGGAAAGGGCUUGUAAUUGGAGUCCAGACAUUGCCGGGUGAGAACUCUGUGUGUGUGUGUGUGUGGGGGGGGGUGGGUGGUACAUCCACACUGUACCCUAACUAAACAUUCUGGCUUCUCCCCAUUUGAACCUGCAGAUGGCAAUAGCUGUGAGAGCAGCUGGUUAAUGAAUGUGCCACUUACUUUCUUUGCUGGAGGCAAACAAGAGAGCAAGCCAGGGAUGGGACGGAAGGCAGCAAGCCCAGAUUCCCCAGUGCAGAAGCCAUCCAGCCUCUGAGAGGUGUCUCCUGUUUGCUACGAGGACUGUGUGCAGCUAGGCCAUGUCAGAACACAGCAGAGACUGCAUUUCCCAUGGAGUCCUGAUCGUGGUUCUCCUUGCCAAAAUCUCUCCCAAACCCAGAAAGCAUUUCAGGACCAUGAGCAGGGACACACGAGGGAACUCUGAGACACUCCGUUUUGUGGAAAACAACAACAACAACAAAAAC